Molecule: long non-coding RNA, 1012 nt
Organism: Carassius carassius (crucian carp)
Lineage: Eukaryota; Metazoa; Chordata; Actinopteri; Cypriniformes; Cyprinidae
Exons: 2
Source: RefSeq, a predicted model, not a curated record
AGUAAAGACACAAGCUUGGGGAGCACUGUUCCAACCAAUGAUAAAACACCAUCCAACCUUGACAAGUGGCAGCAGAGCACUGUAGAAGAUUGCUCCAGCCCAGGACAGCUAUUGGACAGAAGAUCACUUACCAGCAAAGACCAACUCCAUUUAACAUUUACUUUCAGCAUUAGAAUUUGUUCAUAAAUUGUUAAUUUUAUAGGAAAAUAAUUAUUAAAGGGAUAGUUCACCCAAAAAUUUUCAAUAAUUACUCGUCUCAUUUUGUUCCAAACUCAUAAAACCUUCGUUCAUCUUUAGAACACAAACUAAGAUAUUUUUGAUGAAAUCUGAGAGCUUUCUGACCCUCCAUAGACAGCAAGGGUACUACCACGAUCAUUGCCCAGGAAGGUAGUAAGGUCAUUGUUAAAAUAGUCCAUGUGACAUCAGUGGUUCAACCGUAAUUUUAUGAAGCUACGAGAAUACUUUUUGUGCACAAGAAAAACAAUUCUCUUCCAUUUCAUUCUCUGCUGCACAUACAUGAGAGUUACCACGAUGCAUAUAAGGUCUUACGGGUUUGGAACAACAUUAGGGUGAGUAAUUAAUGAUAGAAUUUUCAUUUUUGUGUGAACUAUCCCUUUAAUACUACCUCUGCAAAGCUCAUAAGCGGUGAACUUUGAUAUAAAAUUUAUAAUUCUUGAUCUUAGAAUUGUGAUUGAGAUUACUGUGAAAUAAUGAACAGAUGUAGUGUGUAGCAAACAGUAUUUACAAAUGGUAAUUUAACUGUUAAUUGUUUUAUUAUGUGUUUUUUUAUGAAUUAUUAUUGAAAUUUGACAACAUAACUCAAAGCAGACAAUUCAUGAUUUUGUAUGAAUGUUUUUUUCUGCAUAAAAAAAACAAGCAGAGAAGUAUAAUUCCAAACUGAUUUUAUUUAAAAACAAAUCUGUCGGUGUGAGAUAUAGUCAAUAUUUAAAAAUUUUUAUAUUUUGACAUUUGGCAAAAUCUAUGAAUUGCAAAAAGGUCAAACAAAAUGCUU